This 1200-nucleotide ribosomal RNA is filed under the name human gut metagenome. RNAcentral describes it as "bacterial LSU rRNA". It matches the Rfam family "Bacterial large subunit ribosomal RNA", at positions 1104 to 2324 of the family's 2925-position model. The record is from RNAcentral.
GCUUGGAAGCAGCCAUUCAUUUAAAGAGUGCGUAACAGCUCACUAGUCGAGGAGUUUGGCGUGGAUAAUAAUCGGGCAUAAGUAUUCUACCGAAGCUUUGGGAUGAGAAAUCAUCGGUAGGGGAGCAUUCCACUCUGCGUCGAAGGUGAAGCGCGAGCUUUGCUGGAGCGUGUGGAAAAGCAAAUGUAGGUAUAAGUAACGAUAAAGGGGGUGAGAAACCCCCUCGCCGAAAGACUAAGGUUUCCUGAUCAACGCUAAUCGGAUCAGGGUUAGUCGGGUCCUAAGGCUCAGCCGAACGGUGAGGCCGAUGGCAGAACAGGUUAAUAUUCCUGUACUACCUUAAAGAGUGACGUGGAGACGGAGGCGUGACAGUGCCGCGAACUGACGGAAUAGUUCGUUGAAGGGUGUAGAUGUUGAUCGGGGCAGGCAAAUCCGCUCCGAGAGUCGAACCUGAUAGUAUGGAGCGUUCUUCGGAACAAUCCAAUAGUGCAUGUAAGCAUACUCCCAAGAAAAUCCGCUAAACUUAAUCUUUAAGGUACCCGUACCGCAAACGGACACACGUAGUCGGGUUGAAUAUACUAAGGCGCUUGAGUGAUUCACGGUUAAGGAACUAGGCAAAUUGACCCUGUAACUUCGGGAUAAAGGGUCCCAACGAGAGUUGGGCGCAGAGAAUAGGUCCAGGCAACUGUUUAACAAAAACACAGGGCUGUGCUAAAUUGAAAGAUUACGUAUACAGCCUGACACCUGCCCGGUGCUGGAAGGUUAAGAGGAGAUGUCAUCGCAAGAGAAGCAUUGAAUUGAAGCCCCAGUAAACGGCGGCCGUAACUAUAACGGUCCUAAGGUAGCGAAAUUCCUUGUCGGGUAAGUUCCGACCUGCACGAAUGGUGUAACGAUCUGGACACUGUCUCAACCGUGAGCUCAGUGAAAUUGUAGUAUCGGUGAAGAUGCCGAUUACCCGCGAUGGGACGAAAAGACCCCGUGAACCUUUACUAUAGCUUAACAUUGAAUUUGGGUAAUUGAUGUGUAGGAUAGGCCGGAGGCUUUGAAGCGGGCACGCCAGUGUCCGUGGAGCCGCUGUUGAAAUACGGCCCUUUGAUUAUUUGAGUUCUAACCCGUUGUUGCGGGGACACUGUUUGGUGGGUAGUUUGACUGGGGUGGUCGCCUCCAAAAGUGUAACGGAGGCUUCUAAAGGUGCCCUCA